RNAcentral lists this ribosomal RNA (445 nucleotides) under uncultured soil bacterium. Its description in RNAcentral is "bacterial SSU rRNA". It matches the Rfam family "Bacterial small subunit ribosomal RNA", at positions 26 to 518 of the family's 1533-position model. The record is from RNAcentral.
AGAACGAACGCUGGCGGCAUGCCUAAUACAUGCAAGUCGAACGAACACUUCGGUGUUAGUGGCGCACGGGUGCGUAACGCGUGGGAAUCUGCCCUUGGGUUCGGAAUAACAGUUGGAAACGACUGCUAAUACCGGAUGAUAUCGAAAGAUCAAAGAUUUAUCGCCCAGGGAUGAGCCCGCGUAGGAUUAGCUAGUUGGUGAGGUAAAGGCUCACCAAGGCGACGAUCCUUAGCUGGUCUGAGAGGAUGAUCAGCCACACUGGGACUGAGACACGGCCCAGACUCCUACGGGAGGCAGCAGUAGGGAAUAUUGGACAAUGGGCGCAAGCCUGAUCCAGCAAUGCCGCGUGAGUGAUGAAGGCCUUAGGAUUGUAAAGCUCUUUUACCCGAGAUGAUAAUGACAGUAUCGGAGAAUAAGCCCCGGCUAACUCCGUGCCAGCAGCCGC